GUUGUCCCCAACCGGUGACAGAAUGUUAAGCAAGCUGUGUGGUAUGUGUUCGAGAAGGUCUUCACACUGGACUUGGCAACCCAACUGAACUGGUGCGGGAGGGGGCAGAAGACUGUCAUCCGGUCAAUGCCACUGAAGGAUGCUAUUAUGUGUGCCAGUGGGGUCUAUUCCAUGUUCGUCGCUGAUCACCUCCCAGAACUACAAAAUAACAGAGGCCAAAGGUCAUCCAGGAGGAUGAUAGUGUGUGCUUGCUGGAAGGCCUGGUCCAGCUCUG
Long non-coding RNA from Esox lucius (northern pike), 274 nucleotides. RefSeq lists it as uncharacterized. The transcript is spliced from 3 exons. The record is from RefSeq and is a predicted model, not a curated record. NCBI's taxonomy places the organism in Eukaryota, Metazoa, Chordata, Actinopteri, Esociformes, Esocidae.